This 465-nucleotide ribosomal RNA is filed under the name uncultured Comamonadaceae bacterium. Its description in RNAcentral is "bacterial SSU rRNA". It matches the Rfam family "Bacterial small subunit ribosomal RNA", at positions 338 to 795 of the family's 1533-position model. Lineage: Bacteria; Pseudomonadati; Pseudomonadota; Betaproteobacteria; Burkholderiales; Comamonadaceae. The record is from RNAcentral.
CCUACGGGGGGCAGCAGUGGGGAAUUUUGGACAAUGGACGAAAGUCUGAUCCAGCAAUGCCGCGUGCAGGACGAAGGCCUUCGGGUUGUAAACUGCUUUUGUACAGAACGAAAAAGUCUUUAAUAACACUAGAGGCUCAUGACGGUACUGUAAGAAUAAGCACCGGCUAACUACGUGCCAGCAGCCGCGGUAAUACGUAGGGUGCAAGCGUUAAUCGGAAUUACUGGGCGUAAAGCGUGCGCAGGCGGUUAUAUAAGACAGAUGUGAAAUCCCCGGGCUCAACCUGGGACCUGCAUUUGUGACUGUAUAGCUAGAGUACGGUAGAGGGGGAUGGAAUUCCGCGUGUAGCAGUGAAAUGCGUAGAUAUGCGGAGGAACACCGAUGGCGAAGGCAAUCCCCUGGACCUGUACUGACGCUCAUGCACGAAAGCGUGGGGAGCAAACAGGCUUAGAUACCCUGGUAGUC